UUGUGGUUAAAAAGCUCGUAGUUGGAUCUCGGCGGUCUGAGGGCGGUUCGCUUGAUUGAGUGCUACUGCUCUAUAGGCCGUGGUUUUGCCAGAGGUCUCGGGGUGCUCUUAACCGAGUGUCCUGCGAUGCUGGCAGGUUUACUUUGAAAAAAUUAGAGUGCUCAAAGCAGGCUUUUACGCCUGAAUAUUCGUGCAUGGAAUAAUAGAAUAGGAAGUCGUUUCUAUUUUGUUGGUUUUCGGAAAUCGACUUAAUGACUAAUAGGGACAGUCGGGGGCAUUUGUAUUCAAACGACAGAGGUGAAAUUCUUGGACCGUUUGAAGACAAACUACUGCGAAAGCAUUUGCCAAGAAUGUUUUCAUUAAUCAAGAACGAAAGUUAGAGGUUCGAAGGC
This 392-nucleotide ribosomal RNA is filed under the name uncultured marine eukaryote. Its description in RNAcentral is "SSU rRNA". It matches the Rfam family "Eukaryotic small subunit ribosomal RNA", at positions 613 to 1005 of the family's 1831-position model. The record is from RNAcentral.